CCUGAAGAUACGUUCCCGCGCAGUGUCCACAACAGAUUGUCUGAUAGAAAAGUAAUGAGCAGGACGGCUGCGAAGUCGUGACACUUUCAGUGUCCCCUUCGUCUAGCGGUUAGGACUCCGCCCUUUCACGGCGGCAACAGGGGUUCGAAUCCCCUAGGGGACGCCACUUGCUUGGUGACAGGUGAAAGGUGUCGCUGCAAAAUAUCUUAAAACUGACUUUAAGCAGUCGGCUUUAAGAUAUUGCUCUUUAACAAUCCGGAACAAGCUGAAAAUUGAAACGACGUGUCGUUUUCAUUCUCCGUAAUAA
RNAcentral lists this unclassified non-coding RNA (307 nucleotides) under Sodalis-like secondary symbiont of Curculio sikkimensis. Its description in RNAcentral is "16S-23S ribosomal RNA intergenic spacer". The stretch from base 92 to 163 matches the Rfam family "tRNA". The record is from RNAcentral. Lineage: Bacteria; Pseudomonadati; Pseudomonadota; Gammaproteobacteria; Enterobacterales; Bruguierivoracaceae.